CUUCAACAAAUAUCAGAAUUGGAAGGAAACUCAAAGAGGAGCUAGGCCACGUAUGCAUUUUGCUAAUGAGAUAACUGAGACUCACUGAGGAUGGGUGAUGCUAAAACAUUACAUGGCUGAAAGAGCUCUUUCCACAGCACCAGCCAUCAUUUAUUCCUUCAACUAGCAUUGGGGGCAACCUCCCAUAACUGGGUGUUGGAGAUGCAGUGGCAGGAAAGAUAGACUUGGUACCUGAUAUCAUGGAGCUUAUAUCCUGGUGAGACAUAUGACAAAGACAUGGCCCAUGAGGAAUGAUGUAAGAAGAAUCUAAAGAGUAGUGAGUGGGCAGGACCACGGUGUGAGGUGAGGUGCAGAGGUAGGCAGGGGACAGAUCAUGGAGUCCUGUGGCUCUGGUGAGAUUAGAUACAUUUCAAGUGCAGUGGGGAGCCAUUCACAGAUUUUGUGUAUCAUUCAGUUUAGACUUGCAGAAUGUUACCCUGGAACUCUGCGGAGAAUGGAUUGGAAGGGCAGCAAAAUCAGAAGAAAGAAAAGCAGUUAAAGAGUUACUUCAGCAGUCAAGGCACGAGCUAAUGGUGGCUUGGACCAUACUAAUGAUGAUAGAGACAGAGAGGCACUUUAGAGGCAGGAGUGAGAGGACUCAGAUUACAAGGACUGCAAGAAGCAAAGGAAGAGCCAAAGAUGACUCCAGAUUCCUGACUCGAGUUGUGGGAUCGAAGACUGAGUUGGGAAGAUUGAGAGAAGACAGCAAUCAGUGAGGGAGUAAAUCAAGAGUUCUACUUAAGACCCAAGAGACAUCCAAGAGGAGAAGUCACACCAGCAAUUGAGCAGGUGAUAUGGGUGGAAUUUAUUAGGACAGAAAUAGUGUUUAACACUGCCAGGAUGGAUGGGCUCUCCUACAGAUAGUACGGCUAGAGGAGAAACAAAGCCUGCCCUUAAGGAACUCCAAUCUUAACAAUGCAAUGGAAAAAGAAGCUCCAGACAGGACACUGAGAAGGAAUGCCAGCAAGGUUCAGUAAGCCAGCUGUGUCCUCACAGAAUCUGAGUAGGUGAAGAGCCAAACACACAAGAGAGACUGAGCAGAGAAUGGAAAAGUAUCUAAUAGAUUAGACAACGUUGACAUUGACAAUGUCUGCUGAAAUUGACAACCCGUAGCAGGAGUUUCAGAGAAGCUGUGAUAUUGGAGAUGGAUUCAAGUGGUUUUAAGGGAGAAUGGUAAGGGAGGACAUGAGGGUAUUGCUUAAAGUGAGAGAUCCUAGAACUUGUUUGUUGGAUGAUACAAGUGAUGCGUUGAAAGUGUUGUAGUACUGUACACUAGUGUUGUUGGGCCUACAUGUGCAGUCCCUUAAUGAGUUGCACUCUCUCCAUGGGUGCCCACUUUGCAUCUGAAAGACCCAAAGAUGAAGGAGCCCGCUUUUCAGGGUUUCCCACUGCACGGUCUAUGUGCACAGGAAGCUUCCUUAAUCAACACAAGGGAGGUGAGAUAUCAUCUUUUAUUUGAUGAAAUGAGUGGUGUCAAAAAAUGGGGGAUUGGCUGGAAAUACUACACAGAGCCUUCUGCCUGUCAUAAACAGAAUUUAAGAAUCCAGAGCCUAGCGCCUGUGUACAGAAUUCCACCCAGCCAUGAACCUCAACUUCCUGGAGGACCCACCACCUGGAUCCAAGAGAAUGUGAACUGAGCCUGCUACCGCAUGACACAGUCCCAUCUUUGUCUUGGAGCCAACAGUCCACGUGUUACGGAAAGUUCAGUCUCUGAACUCCUUGCCAAUCUAAAUAACAAGAACAAAGUUUUGGGUAAAAAGGAAAGAAAGCUUUAUUCUCUUUGCCAGGCAAAGGGAGCAGCAGCAGGCUAGCGCCUUACGAACUGCUGGCUCCCCAUCAGAUAAAUGGGUAAGGGGUUUUAUAGGAGAAGUCUAAGAGUCCAGUUCAGGGCUAUGUGCCAGAAGACACAUUUUUCUUUCCUGUUGGUGGUCUCAAGAUUGCUGGAGUGCCUUGUUUGCUGACACAGAUGUUUUUGUUCUUUAUGGCCAGCAAGACACAGGACACGAUAACCAGAUCCUUUUGUUGCAAGCUGUUAUCCAGACUCCCUGGAACUCGGGUUAUUCUCAAGUCUCAGCAGAGCGGGAGUGUAAGCAGAGAAACAUAAGGAAGGCAAAAUUAUGUACACUUUUAAUUCCAGCCUUAGUUGCCGGGAAAGUGUCACUUCAGAUAAGGAAGACGUUACUAGUCAGGUUGUUAUUUAAUCCGUAUACUUCUAAUUUCGGAUAGAAAAAGCCCAUAACACAUGCAAGGCAGAGUACAGGUUGCAUCGUCCUUUCAUGCCUGGUUGCUAACCUACAUUUCCCCAUGUGGGAGAAUUUGGUCUGCACCCUGAUUUCAUUAUAUGACAUUGUGGAGGAGACCUGAGCACACGCCUUCCUGGAAUUGUUGAGGCUACUAAAAUGUUAUUAAAAGGAGCCCAGAAAGUUUGAACAGCCAAAUUUCACAAGACGGUAUAGCUCGUGUUGGAUGGGAGAGUGGGGACACUGCAAGGCAAGCUACCUUGAACGGAUCAGAGGGAAUGGGGCCAGCACACACAGUCUGAGCGCUCACAGUCUUCUUCCUACAGCCUCAUAUUUCUUCUCCAGUCACAUUCCUGGGAAGAUUGUUCCAGAGGGAGCUCACAUUUCUUCCUGAUUAAUGCACUGGUGCCAGGACCAUCCCGGAUGCCUCCUCCUUCACUCUUCAAUCAAAGUAUUUCUAUUUCUGACCAUCCUGACUUGCUUCAGAGGUGGGAAGGGCCCUCUUGGCCUAUCACACACAAAGAGUCUGCCCUUCGGUAAGUCAUUGAGCAUAUUUCUAACCUGUCCCCUAGCGGUAACCAAUUAAUGAACUUUUGCUGGCACACAGAAAUUGUUAUGAGACUGCAUCACAAUGAUGAGUGAAUUUUCAUUAGCAAUCCAAUUUGGAAAUGGAACUGCACAAUUCGUCCUUUAAAUAGAAUUCUCCAGAUAUUAAAUUUAGCCUCUUGAUUUCCAAACCAAAAAAAGAUUCUUGGUUUCAAAGAGAGUCCCCAGCGUCUAAGCAGUGUUUGAUGAAGCACAUUCUCGAACCACAACUGUUACUUGACAAAACCUUUGAAAUAGCAAUACCACUACUUUGCUAGCUCCUCCAUUGGCAUGACUCUUGGAAGCAACUCAGAGGCGCAAAGGCCACCUGGAGCUCCUCCUCUCUUGUAGGACACAGGGGAAGAGUUGCAUCCCCUCUGCCACUCUUCCUAUUUCCCGAGCUCGUGGGGCUUCACAGCCGUGAGCGUGAGACCGCACUAGUCGUUCUUGUUUUCGAAAUUGUGUUCAGUUCAAUUCUAAGCAAACACGAUCCUUCGAAUGGCUUAAAGGACACAUUCACUUUAGUUCAACUCCUAAAAUGAAUCUCCUUGUGAAACUAUGAAAUUCUGUGAUCUAUGAAAUCUGUGAAUUUUGCUAAACUUCGGUGAAGAUUUCACUCACAAAUAUUCUCUAAGCUAGCAGUAUCAAAAUUUCAAUGUUCAGGAAAAAAUAAGGAAGGGACUGCUUGUUAGAAAUAGAGAUUCCUGAGCCAAAGUGAGGCAGGGGAAUCUGCCUGUUUAUACAAUAAAUGCCGCAGUGGCUCUGAUGGACACCCAAGGGCCACACUUUGGGAAAUUCCCAAACUCGGCGCCGGGUCCUCAGUUUACCUGCACCGUUUGUUUUGUGUUAAGCACUGUGCAUGGCAAAGAGGCCCGGAGCCAGGGGGACCGGGUGUAAAUCUGACGCCAGCACGUAUUAUGCUAGUUUUAUGAACCUCAGGGGUUUUUUUUCCAAUUAAAUGAGGAUAAUCGUGCCUGAGUCACAGCGUUGCUGUGCGAGUGAACUGAAGCCAUGGGUGCUGCUCAGUGAGACGCAGAUCCAAGGGGCUGUGUAACGGUGAAGAAGGGAACAUCCUCACACUGUGGUGAAGGCAAGAGCAGAGUCAAAGUGAUUGUUACCAUUGACAACCAACAUUCUCUGUGAAUAAGUCAGCUUGCGGUUGCCCACUUCAAUAGAGACUGCUGUUUUCCGGGCCAUGCCCUUGCUUGUCGCUGAAGCAGCUGGAGCCCCCUCAGGACUGAUCCCAAGGUCCAGAAAUACUGGAAGGAAGGACUCUGGUUCAGGGGAGACGCUCUGGCCACCGGAAGCCUGACUCAUCCGGCUGCCUGUGAGGAGAAAGACCUGUGCAUCUCCUCAUAUUUUUGACAAACAAGAUGGGCUGGAAAGAGAACAAAGAGCCUGUGGGCUGGUGAUAAGGUGAACACUGUGGCAAGCUGCUCUAACCUGGGAAGGCCACACUUUCAUUCCUCACUCCUAGCAACGGAAGGAAGCUCUCACACGCCCUGAUGGGGCUGCUGUGAGGACCAUGGGAAUUGCCUUUUGAGAAAAGUUUCUAUCAAAUAGCUUCUCACAAUACUUCUCCGAUGAGGACAAAGUGUGGUACCAGCCUGGACCAGAUCGGGAAACAGAAGCAGGGGGCUGACAGCUGCAUUUACUCAGCACACUCAGGAGCCUGAAAGGGAACACAAUCCUUUCUUUCCUCGGUCCAUUUCAUGGUGUGAGACAAGUCACCGAAAUGGCCACAUUAUGGUGAAUUCCUGAGCCCCUAACAGUGUCUGAGAUGGAGCAACUCCUGUGUUCCGCACCCGCUGACUGCAGGCGAGGGUCAGGCCACGCCUCUGUGGGAUUCUUGGAGAGCCAACGGCACCUGCAGGUGACUCGAACUUGAGCCAAUGGGGUACAGGUCGGGCAUCAACAUGUCUGCCACAGGUUCUCACCUGAAUGCUGUCAAUGCUAACGUCCACACACACUUUCAUACCUGCCUCCCGUAGUCAGCUUGGAGUAGAAAAUGCCAUUGAAGCUGCUGAAGCCAUAUGGUGA
This 4904-nucleotide long non-coding RNA is filed under the name Equus caballus (horse). Its description in RNAcentral is "lncRNA (ENSECAG00000040037.2)". Lineage: Eukaryota; Metazoa; Chordata; Mammalia; Perissodactyla; Equidae. The record is from RNAcentral.